Molecule: long non-coding RNA, 591 nt
Filed under: Gallus gallus (chicken)
Lineage: Eukaryota; Metazoa; Chordata; Aves; Galliformes; Phasianidae
Source: RNAcentral
AGUUGCAAGCUGCUUCACCGUACAUAUUCAUUCGUGGCCCUGAGCCAAGCAGCACAAGAAGGCGUGCCAACCCAUAAUUCUGUAUGGAUUUCUUUUGGUAUUACUCUUUCAGAGGGAAUAAAAGAUGAGAGCAAUUGUUAAAACAACAUCAUUAGAUUGUUGUUUGACUUCAUGCUCUAGUCUAGAAGAUUUCUUUGGCUGGCAUGGAAGACAGAUAAGAAAGUAGCAAAUGACUUAUGUAAAGACUUAAGACUUCUUCGCAGCCACAUCAUCAUGUAGUGUUAACAGACAUUCUUGUAUCUGCUUUACUGUGCAAUUUUGCUUUUCUUAGAGUCACCAAGUUUUUCCAGUGUUAUAUUAAUGCAAGUCAUACCGAGCACAUCUAUACAUGUUUGAGUGCUUUCUAUAAUUUGUUAUUGGUCAGUAUUUUUUAAUUCAUUGUGAUCAAGUAAUUUCCCUAAGUUCUGUAUGUCUUUGUUGUGGGACAUGAAAGAAAAAUCUACUUCUUGAUAAAGAAAUUAUCCUGGCACAAAGAAUGCUUCUUCAAGGCUGAGUAAUGCUUGACGGAGGAGACUAGUACUAAAAACAAAC